GAAGGCCCAGACAGCCAGGAUGUUGGCUUAGAAGCAGCCAUCAUUUAAAGAAAGCGUAAUAGCUCACUGGUCGAGUCGGCCUGCGCGGAAGAUGUAACGGGGCUAAACCAUGCACCGAAGCUGCGGCAGCGACACUAUGUGUUGUUGGGUAGGGGAGCGUUCUGUAAGCCGUUGAAGGUGGCCUGUGAGGGUUGCUGGAGGUAUCAGAAGUGCGAAUGCUGACAUAAGUAACGAUAAUGCGGGUGAAAAACCCGCACGCCGGAAGACCAAGGGUUCCUGUCCAACGUUAAUCGGGGCAGGGUGAGUCGACCCCUAAGGCGAGGCCGAAAGGCGUAGUCGAUGGGAAACAGGUUAAUAUUCCUGUACUCGGUGUUACUGCGAAGGGGGGACGGAGAAGGCUAUGUUGGCCGGGCGACGGUUGUCCCGGUUUAAGCAUGUAGGCGGAUG
RNAcentral lists this ribosomal RNA (447 nucleotides) under Klebsiella michiganensis. Its description in RNAcentral is "partial 23S ribosomal RNA". It matches the Rfam family "Bacterial large subunit ribosomal RNA", at positions 1079 to 1530 of the family's 2925-position model. The record is from RNAcentral. Lineage: Bacteria; Pseudomonadati; Pseudomonadota; Gammaproteobacteria; Enterobacterales; Enterobacteriaceae.